Felis catus (domestic cat) is the source of this 85-nucleotide non-coding RNA. NCBI's taxonomy places the organism in Eukaryota, Metazoa, Chordata, Mammalia, Carnivora, Felidae. The record is from Rfam.
GCCUGGGUGGCUCAGUCAGGGAAGCGUCUGACUUCCACUCAGGUCAUGAUCUCACGGUUCGCGGGUUUGAGCCCCGUGUCAGGCU